AUGACCAAAGGAGUCAUGGCCAAAAGGUGGCACAAUCAGGAUUCAAACCAAAGAAAUUCAUCUCUUCCAAAGUCCAUGUUCUCAGCCACCAUAAUGACCUCCAGCUUUUCUGGUUUCCAUUUCCCAGGAUUUAUCCAUCAGGAAACUUACACGAUAUUCCUUCCCUUAUAUAUAAAAUACUUGAAAAUCUGUUACAUAUUGUAUAUGAAUACUCAUCCCAAGAGGUUAAGUCCACAUAAAUAUCUUUCUAUUUAUGUCUCAGUGGUUCUUAUUCACCUUGUGUCUCAGGAGAUCGCGCAGGCGGACAGAGGGUUUUUUGUUGUCUCUCCAUCCUCAGGGUCCCUGGUAAAAUUUUUGAAAAAGUAGACUCGCCAGGGAAGAGACAAGGUGGUGGAAAGAGUCUAGAUUCACACCAGGACAGACGUUCAAACCCAGUGCCAUUACUUUCGGUUAACCUUCAGCGCCUCAGUUUCCCCAUCUAGACAAGGAGGGGUCUUGGGAGGUCAAGUGGAUUAGAUUACACAGUAUACAUUCCACCGGCUUCUCAAGGAAUUAGCCCAACGGUAAUUAGAAAAACGAAUUCCUUUUCUUCCAGUCCUCUGACCUUGGUAAACCCCUGGCUAUCUACCCCAGCGGCUUUGGGAAGCCACGCGCAUGCACACAGACCGAGGACCACACCUCCACGUGCUCGGAAAAUAGGAAGAACCCAUAAGGCUUCGGCUUUGCAGUAUGAAAAGAAACAAAAACUGUGUGAAUGGGUGAAUUGAGA
This 769-nucleotide long non-coding RNA is filed under the name Sus scrofa (pig). Its description in RNAcentral is "lncRNA (ENSSSCG00035076291.1)". The record is from RNAcentral. Lineage: Eukaryota; Metazoa; Chordata; Mammalia; Artiodactyla; Suidae.